GGGCAUGUGGCGAAGUGGACAUCGCAUCCGUCUCCGGAACGGAAGAUCCCAGGUUCGACCCCUGGCUUGCUCG
Non-coding RNA from Borealophlyctis nickersoniae, 73 nucleotides. Lineage: Eukaryota; Fungi; Chytridiomycota; Chytridiomycetes; Rhizophlyctidales; Borealophlyctidaceae. The record is from the annotation of a GenBank genome assembly.